RNAcentral lists this ribosomal RNA (1144 nucleotides) under uncultured Ampelomyces. RNAcentral describes it as "eukaryotic LSU rRNA". The stretch from base 512 to 1144 matches the Rfam family "Eukaryotic large subunit ribosomal RNA", at positions 1 to 649 of the family's 3401-position model. Lineage: Eukaryota; Fungi; Ascomycota; Dothideomycetes; Pleosporales; Leptosphaeriaceae. The record is from RNAcentral.
AAGGAUCAUUACAUUUAGUAGCUUGCUACUGCUAAGAGGGUCUGUUAGGCUGUAUAGUAUUGCUACUAACGAGCAGCAUGAUCCUCUAAGUCAACCCUUGUCUUUUGCGUACCUACGUUUCCUCAGCGGGUAUAACCCGCUGGCUGGACAAAAUUAAAACCCUUGAAUAUUCAAUCAGUGUCUAAGAAACUUAAUAAUUACAACUUUCAACAACAGAUCUCUUGGUUCUGGCAUCAAUGAAGAACGCAGCGAAAUGCGAUAAGUAGUGUGAAUUGCAGAAUUCAGUGAAUCAUCGAAUCUUUGAACGCACAUUGCGCCCCUUGGUAUUCCAUAGGGCAUGCCUGUUCGAGCGUCAUUUGUACCCUUAAGCUCUGCUUGGUGUUGGGUGUUUGUCUAUGCUUUUGCUUGGACUUACCUCAAAGCAAUUGGCAGCUAGUGUUUUGGCAUAGAAGCGCAGCACAUCUUGCACUUCCAGUCUUAAACACCAGCUUCCAGUAAGUCCCUUUACGUUUGACCUCGGAUCAGGUAGGGAUACCCGCUGAACUUAAGCAUAUCAAUAAGCGGAGGAAAAGAAACCAACAGGGAUUGCCUUAGUAACGGCGAGUGAAGCGGCAACAGCUCAAAUUUGAAAUCUGGCUCUCUUAGGGCCCGAGUUGUAAUUUGCAGAGGGCGCUUUGGUGUCGGCAGCGGUCCAAGUUCCUUGGAACAGGACGUCACAGAGGGUGAGAAUCCCGUACGUGGUCGCUAGCCUUUGCCGUGUAAAGCCCCUUCGACAAGUCGAGUUGUUUGGGAAUGCAGCUCUAAAUGGGAGGUAAAUUUCUUCUAAAGCUAAAUACUGGCCAGAGACCGAUAGCGCACAAGUAGAGUGAUCGAAAGAUGAAAAGCACUUUGGAAAGAGAGUCAAAUAGCACGUGAAAUUGUUGAAAGAGAAGCGCUUGCAGCCAGACUUGCCUGUAGUAGUUUAUCUAGACUUUUGUCUAGUGCACUCUUCUGCAGGCAGGCCAGCAUCAGUCUAGGCGAUUGGAUAAAGGUCUCUAUCACGUACCUCUCUUUGGGGAGGCCUUAUAGGGGAGACGUCAUGCAACCAGUCUGGACUGAGGUCUGCGCAUCUGCUAGGAUGCUGGCGUAAUGGCUGUAAGCGGCC